This 74-nucleotide transfer RNA is filed under the name bacterium. RNAcentral describes it as "tRNA-Cys". It matches the Rfam family "tRNA". From Rfam's summary of the family: Transfer RNA (tRNA) molecules are approximately 80 nucleotides in length. Their secondary structure includes four short double-helical elements and three loops (D, anti-codon, and T loops). RNAcentral also lists the same sequence under 1 other name. The record is from RNAcentral.
GGCGAUGUGGCCGAGUGGUUAGGCAACGGUCUGCAAAACCGUCCACAGCAGUUCGAUUCUGCUCGUCGCCUCCA